Long non-coding RNA from Macaca fascicularis (crab-eating macaque), 1592 nucleotides. NCBI's taxonomy places the organism in Eukaryota, Metazoa, Chordata, Mammalia, Primates, Cercopithecidae. The record is from Ensembl.
AUGCAGAAUUGUUUCUCAUGACUCAACUGACAUUUUGUCCUCAGCAGGCACAGGGCGGUCCUGAUGGGACGUGAAUCCAUGCCUAGGGAAUCACAAUACCCUGAGAUGGAGGUGAGGACCAGCUCUGUGCCAGCUUCAUCGUCAGCAACCACCCUUCAACAGCCUGCACUGAGCACCUUCUCUCUCACAUUGGUCGCUCCUUCAGGCUGAACACUCUAUCGGGGGCCACCAGUUAAUUUCCAGGGAGGCCACUUCUCCUCCGGGGUGAGUUUCAGGAAUCCUCCAAAAGUGGGGGCCUUGCAGGCCGAGUGAUGGGAGGCAGAUGGCCUUGCGCUGUGGGGACCAGGGCCUCUCGAGGCCACCUGUGCACUGGGAAAUCCAGAAGCUGGACACCCAGGACUGAGGGAGCCACCGGCCCUGCCAGGUGUCACGCGGAGACGCAGCUGCACUGAGUGGGUCCUCUCUUUAAGUUUGUGACAGAAAAUAUGGAUCUUCAGGACGUAGAACAGAUUAUACAGUUUUACACUUUUCAAAAUGAUAAAUGCAAACUUUUAUGGGCAAGGGCAUAUCUGUAAUAUUUGAUUUCACAAAAUUGUGUUUGAAUAAGACUGUCUGCUGGGGGACAUGUGACAGUUUGUCUGGCCACACAGGGGACACAUGACAGUGUGUCUCGCUUGGCCACAUACUCGCUGCGGGGACAAGCAGCCCGUUGCCUCCGUUUCCACAUUUGCCAAGUGGAGUCAGUUUAGUGCAUGCCAGGGGUUACCAGGAAGAACGACUAAUGUGUGCAAAGCAGUUGGGUGACGCCCAGCCUUCGUGAGGCUCAGCCACAUCGCUCUGCCCUGUUUCAGAAAUCCACGCUCAGGAGCACACCUGCUGGCUGACAGUGUUUCUAAGUCUGCCCCUGUGCUCUCUAUUUCUUUUCAUCAAAAGAUUUCAAUUUACAGAGAUCUAAACUAUAAAUAUGGAGAAGGUGUGUUAUCAUCACCAAACCUGAAACAGCACACGAAGUUUGAGAACGCCCAGAAGAUCGGGAACUGCCUCUGCAAACACCGGGCUCCUGUGGCCACCCAUCUUUUGGGCUCUGCCUUGGAUGUCAGAGGAGACUUGAGAAUUUUUCUUACCUUGUCUCAGGAGACAGCUGCACAAGUAUCCACACUUAAAGAUAUGUGUGCAAAACCUCACCAUUGCACGAGGAGAAUAAUUUAUAUUGUAAGCCAAGCAAAUACUAUUUUUGAGAGUCAUAAUGACUAAAUACCAGUCGGAAUAGUUAUUGAAAAGUUGAGGCCGGGGGCGGUGGCUCGCGCCUGUAAUCCCAGCACUUUGGAAGGCGGAGGCGGGCGGAUCACAAGAUUGACAGAUCGAGACCAUCCUGGCUAACAUGGUGAAACCCCAUCUCUACUAAAAAUACAAAAAAUUGGCCAGGCGUGGUGGCAGGCACCUGUGGUCCCAGCUACUCGGGAGGCUGAGGCAGGAGAAUAGCAUGAACCCAGGAGGCGGAGCUUGCAGUGAGCCGAGAUUGCGCCACUGCACUCCAGCCUGGGAGACAGAGCGAGACUCCAUCUCAAAAAAAAAAAAAAAAAAGAAAAAAA